CUCCCUAUAGUACAAUGGAUAGCGCGUUGGACUUCUAAUCCAAAGUUUGUGGGUUCGAAUCCUACUUGGGAGU
Trichonephila clavipes is the source of this 73-nucleotide non-coding RNA. The record is from the annotation of a GenBank genome assembly. NCBI's taxonomy places the organism in Eukaryota, Metazoa, Arthropoda, Arachnida, Araneae, Nephilidae.